AUUGAACGCUGGCGGUAGGCCUAACACAUGCAAGUCGAACGCGAAAGUCCUUCGGAUGAGUAGAGUGGCGGACGGGUGAGUAACGCGUAGGAAUCUAUCCUGUAGUGGGGGAUAACGUUUCGAAAGGAACGCUAAUACCGCAUACGCCCCAAGGGGGAAAGCGGGGGAUCUUCGGACCUCGUGCUAUAGGAGGAGCCUGCGUCGGAUUAGCUAGUUGGUGAGGUAAAGGCUCACCAAAGGCGACGAUCCGUAGCUGGUCUGAGAGGAUGAUCAGCCACACCGGAACUGAGACACGGUCCGGACUCCUACGGGAGGCAGCAGUGGGGGAAUAUUGCGCAAUGGGCGAAAAGCCUGACGCAGCCAUACCGCGUGUGUGAAG
This 379-nucleotide ribosomal RNA is filed under the name uncultured bacterium. RNAcentral's name for it is "bacterial SSU rRNA". It matches the Rfam family "Bacterial small subunit ribosomal RNA", at positions 30 to 410 of the family's 1533-position model. The record is from RNAcentral.